RNAcentral lists this long non-coding RNA (1318 nucleotides) under Brassica rapa (field mustard). Its description in RNAcentral is "long non-coding RNA (BRAP_LNC001853)". The record is from RNAcentral. Lineage: Eukaryota; Viridiplantae; Streptophyta; Magnoliopsida; Brassicales; Brassicaceae.
UUUAGACUAAUCUAUAUUUUGUGUCAUAUUUUCUUAUAAUAUUCUUUAAUAUUUUUGAAAAUAAAUUUAAUAAAUAGUUUUACAAACAAAAAAAAUUUGGAAAAAUAGUAACUUUGAUAAAAUACUUAUAUCAACUUAGUGAUAUUUUUUUCAGUUAUAAAAAAGUUAAAAUUAUAAAUUUCAUAUUAUGUUCUAAAUAAAGUAGAAAUGACAUUCUACGAAGUAGAAAACGAAAUCUACUUUUUUCAUUGAAUCUACAAUGUUUAGAAUACGUGAUCUACGUAAAUAGGAGUAUUCUAAAAAUAUUUAGAAUACACAUUCCGCGCUUAACCUAUCGUUCUAAAAUCUUUAGAAAUCAAAAUCUACACAUUAAUAUAAAUCUAAAACACGUAGAAACCGACUUCUACAACAUGUAGAAAUCAAAAUCUAAACAUUACUAUAAUUCUAAAAGACUGUAGAAACCGAUUUCUACAUAUUAGUUGUAUUCUACGGAUAAGAAAUCAGUUCCUAAAAAUAUGAAAACAAAAUAUUUGGGAAUAUUCACUUUUAUAUUUUGAAAAAAAAAAUCGAUUUAAAAAAAAAAUAAAAAAACGAAAAAAGGAACAAAAAAAUAAAAAAAACGAAAAAGGAAUAAAAAUUUACAAUUUUAAGGGCAUUACAGCCAUUUUGAAAAUAAUUAGUCUAAUAGAACAUAAAGUAGUAUAGAUUAGUAUAAAUGGACAUAGUUACCAUUUUUUUGCUUUAAAAAAAUAAUUUUCCCUUUUAUAUUUUAGUAACGGGUUUGGUCGUUUAAUGAACGAUGACAGAGACCUGCGUGUAUCUCCGACUUUUGUCUUUGUCGGUUUGCUUUUAUUGGACACGUGUCAAUCUUAGUACCACUCGACGUUGUCCCGCAUUUUCUAAACCAAUGGUCCAAUCUCACCUGGACCCAUCCUAUUAAAUGACGCAUCUACCCUAUUACGUAGGCCGUUGAUUGAUUUAGAUCGGAAGGCAGAGAUUCGUCCCGACAAGUGCGCGUGGGGUACUAUUUAUGCAUUGCGUGUUAGGAGAGGGCAGUGGCGCGUGACGUAAGGCCUACGCAGUUUCGAAGAGGACAGAAAACAUAAAGAGUGAUCACUGUGACAUCACAAGACUAAAAACUCAAUAUGUUGGAUUUCGCACGCUCUCUCCACCCGCGCGUCUACAUCACGACGAUAAGUUACCUGCGUUAAUUAUGGUGAAGAUAAGUUUUACACGAAAGUGUGCCUACCACUAUAAUACGUGUGUAUACCAUAAACAUGCAAAACUAGAACAGCCCAUAACCCGACCAAAGAGCCGG